GAUGUGUUCUACUUCCCAUUGAGAGGAUUCUGGUAGGUUUCUCUAAUAGUAAAACUAACUAACAAUUGUAGUUAACUGUACCGCAGCGGCGCACUUCUUAUUCCUGGAUUAAGCCUAGGCCUACUCUACGAAUCAUGUAGUAUUGUUGUGAACUCAUAAGUAAAACCAUUCUCUAUCCAAUACAGAGUUGGCGUAGUAUUGUUGUGAACUCAUAAGUUUCUAUUUUAAUUUUUCUUUCACUUGAUCUUCAGGUUUACAGGGUUAAUGGAUCCAUGCUUCAAUGAAUUUAUAGAAGUGCGUUCACUUAUCUAGCUUUUUGUUCUCAUUCUGUUUGAAAUCCGUAGACAUUUUCCAAAAUUUUCUUGUCAAUGCACAAGUUUCCUUAUUUAGAGAAAAAGCAUACGCCCGACUUUAUAAAUAAAGCCAUAAGGCAGGUAGCAACAACAUCACAGAUAAGUAUCAAACACACCCAAGCCCCAACGACGGGCGAGAUGACAGGGGAGAAAGUCCAGUACAUGGCUCCCUCGCCAGUACACAACACGCAUGCCGAAAGAGAAAGGUCCAACUAAAACUAAAGCAUCCGGCCCAAAAGAAGCAAUUAAGCAUCAUGCUCUUGUCUGCAUAACUGAGACGCCGUAGCCCGGAUUUUGUAGAUCAACAUAGAGAGCGCCUCUUGGUCAUCGACCUUAGUCAAUGAUUUCCACUGCUGCAGGAAAGCACACGAUUUAAAUAAGCAGUCAGCAGGUUUAGCCGGAAACACGUGCUCGAUAGUAAAUUUGUUCCUAGUCGUCCACAGGGACCAACAUAAAGCUCCCAAGCCCACCCAAAAGAUGCGCCUGGAGAUGCCGGAAAGGUUGUAUGCCAAGUUGCCCAACUUGGCAAAGGAGGCAGGGGCCCAAGAAACACGGAGCCAGUCCCGCACGCAACUUCAAAUGAGCUUAGCCAGGUGACAAUGAAAAAAAAAUGUGUUCCGUGUCUUCCACAUCACCGCAAAGGGCACAGAACUGGGAGCCCGGUCCAUUUCUCUUACGAAUUUGAUCAGCCGAGGGCAACCGGACUCGGAAAGCUUGCCACAAGAAGAUUUUAAUCUUAGGGGGAAUACGGGCCUUCCAAAUCUGGGAGAAACGAUUAGUAGGCGUGCCACCAACAAGCUUAGAGUAAAGUGAUUUAACAGAAAAGCGUCCAGAGGAAGAUAGUGGCCAGAGCACCGAAUCCUUGACCGUCGAGAGCGUAGGGAAGAGGGCAGUAAGACGUUGUCGAUCUUUGAACUCUACAUGCGACAGGGAGUGGCAGAAGGCCAGGAUCCACCCCUGGGAAGCUAACUUCGCAAUAGAAAUAUUUGGAUCAGAGCAAUAAGAGAAAAUGGUAGGGAAGGUCACCGAGAGAGGUGAGUCUCCACACCACCAGUCUAGCCAAAACCUAAUCAAGGAGCCGUCCCUAACAACAAACUUAACGAAAGAUUGAAAAAUUGGUCUAACUUUGACCAAAGACUUCCAAAACUGAGAACCACCACGCUGCAGAGCAAACAUCGGGCUAGAGGAUGGAAAAUAUUUAGCCUUAAGGAUCGACAGCCAAAGGGGCUGAUCCUCAACACUCAUAAUCUUCCACCACCAUUUAAUCAUCAGGCAUUGGUUCAUGAUGGAAGUAUUAAGAAUCCCUAACCCCCCAAGGUUUUUGGGCCUACACAUCAACUUCCAUUUAACAAAACGGUAUUUGCGGUGAUUGUCCGCCGCAUUCUAGUAAAAUGCCCCACGGUGUUUAUCAAAACCAACAUGAAUCCCAGCUGACAAGAGAUAGAAUCCCAUCAGGAACAUGGGGAGGGAGGAAAGACAAGCAUUAAUCAAAGCCACUUUACCCACAUUCGUGUUAUAUCUACCCCACUAGGGAAGGACCCUGUUGCCCACCUUUGUGACCACCGGGGCAAAAUGUUUGGCAUGAAGCACGUCCGGGGAAAUUGGCAGGCCCAAGUAUUUGAACGGAAAGGAGCCCAACUUACAGUUGAGAAGGUGUGCUACUCGCACGGCUUCCGACUCAUCCACACCAGUAACAACCACUUCACUUUUGGCAAAGUUAAUCUUAAGCCCCGACAUCGCCUCGAAGCAUAAUAAAAUAAACUUGAGGUGAGCAAGGCAGGCAUCAUCCAGCUCAACCAUAAUAAUAGUGUCGUCCGCGUAUUGGAGGUGGGUCAGACCAUGGGGAAUAAGAUUAGACCUAACAGGAGUAAUGUGCCCGCAAGUAGCUGCCCUAGAGAGCAAGCGAGAUAAGGCAUCCGCAACGAAGUUGAACAGAAUGGGCGAGGCAGGGUCGCCUUGCCGCAGGCCCCUACCAUUGGCAAAGAACUUGCUAACCUGACCAUUAACAUUGAUGGCAGUGUGGCCUCCCGAGACCAACUGCAUAAUUCUAUGGACAAGGGGCCCCUCAAACCCUUUAGCCAAUAAAACUCUACAUAAAAAAGGCCAACUCACCGAAUCAUAGGCCUUCUCAAAGUCUACUUUAAGAAUCACCGCUUUCGAAUUGCGAAUCUUAAGGUCAUGAACGAUUUCAUGCAGGCAAAGAACCCCGUCUAGAAUGAAACGACCCUCAAUGAAAGCCGACUGAAAAGGGCUGAUGGUACGGUGGGCAAUGGGGGAGAGGCGAGUGGCUAACCCUUUUGCCAGAAACUUGGCGACGUUAUUAAUAAGGGCAAUCGGCCUAAAUUGCAAGAUCGAGUCCGCGCCCUUGACUUUAGGUAUAAGGGUAAUGACAGCAUAGUUAAGGCGAGAAAUAUCCACCGUACCCAACUAGAACCCUUGGAUAAUUUUACAAAUGAGAACCCGCAACUGCGGCCAGAAUUUUUUAAAGAAGGGGAUAGAAAAACCAUCAGGACCAGAGGCAGCGUUCGGGUUAGCCGAGCUAAUCACCUGCCAAAUUUCCUCGUCAGAUAAAGGGACCAUCAGGCCCAACUUUUCGCCCGGAGAAAUCCUAGAACCCUCAUCCCAGAAACCAGAGCAGAGGUCAAGCCCAGGGUCCGGCUUAGAGCCGAGGAGAUUGGAAUAGAAGCCAACAAUGUGAUUCAUAAUGAGGGACUGGUCCAAGAUUCUGACGUCGUCAAUCAACAGAGUGUCAAUGAAACAUCUGCGAUGUCUGCCAUUAGCGAUCGCAAAGAAAUACGUCGUCAUAGCAUCCCCCCUUCAAGGUCCAAUUAAGGGCACCUCGUUGGCGCCAGUAAAUUUCCGACUGUUGGUGUAGCAACAUCAAAGCGUCUUCCAGGGAGUAACGAAUAGCCCACUGAGAGGCGGAGAGACCAGACGUGUCAGCAGAGUAAUCCAGAUCCCGGAGUUGAGAUUCAAGGGAGUCUUUGUCUCUACGGAGCUCAUAUGCCCUAUUCCGAGACCACCCCCUUAAGAAUUUACGAAGCUCAUAAGACAGUUUGUGCCAAUCAUCCAUGGGGCCAAAGGAGCGAUGAGGAGAAGAAAGAAAAUUAGAGAUCUUUGAAACCAUCAUCUCAAAAAAAACCUCCACAACAAGCCAAGAAGCAUCAAACUGGAAACGGGAGGGAGAAACGAGGGAAAGGAUACCCGCAUCCAGGACCAGGGGGACAUGAUCAGAGCCAACCGCAGGCCUAGCCUUAAGCAGCGCGCGGGGAAACAGCGAGUCCCACCGAUCAGACACAAACACCCUAUCCAGCACCGACCGGACAGGAGAGGAUUGAUGGUUAGACCAAGUGAACCGCACCCCCACCCUAGGGAGCUCAUGAAGCGCGCAAUUACUAAUGAAAUCAUUAAAAUCAUUGGCAAGAGGCCAAGAGAAAUUAGGACUGUUCUUGUCGGCCGGAGAGCGUAACAAAUUGAAAUCACCCCCAAUUAAAAGAGGAAUAUUGCAGGCUUCAAUCUUAAUCCAAAGUUCAUCCAAAAAAAAAGAGGUGCAAGCGUGUGAUCCGCGGGGCCGUAAACCACCAUAAAUUCCCACAAAGUGUUCAGCUCACGAUGAUGAACCACACAGCUAGCCCAAAAAAUGCCAUGAUCAAAAGCAAUGAAGUCAAUCAUGUCCCGCUUGGACCCAAUCAAGAUGCCCCCAGAGUGACCCGAAGCAGGGAGAAAGUGCCAGUCAAACCUAUCCAUCCCAGCCAACGCAGAAAGUUCAGAAGGGGAAAAGGAUUCCUUAAAUGUUUCGACCAACCCUAAAAUGUCAAUAUGUUCACCACAAACCAAGUCAUGAAUCUGGUCUCGGCACCCCCUAGCACCGAAACCACGAAUAUUCCAGAAGAGAGUUCUCAUUUGAAGGAAAGGUUUUUAAUACGAAGACUCGAUCUGCACGGGGCCACAUAAGGCUUAGAGCGCUUGGAAUGAUCGAUCUUAACACGGGCAGGGGGAGCAGACGACUGGCCACAACCAUUUGUCGCACCUACCACCUAGGGCUGGCCCUGAACCCCAGCAGGGCCAGCAACACUCGCGGCCUCCAAGGCCUUAGCAAUAGCAGCCUGGGCUGCCGCAUUGGCCCUAAUGACAGAAAGAAGGUGAGAAGGAGAGCCCAUCCCCGGUUUAGCAUCCACACCAAUAUCAGACACGAUCUACAACAAAUGAUCAUCUGAUAAUGCAGGUAAAAUAAGGCGAACAGGAGAGGCAGGAGAGAUGAUUGGACAGACGAACCUGCAGGAGGAAGAUCCCUGGCCGCAGAGCGUCGCUCCGCCCGCACCGCCACCGAAAUGCCAGAGUCGCGCACACGGCAGCCCUUUCGCGCCGGAGAACACAGCACCAGGGAGCACCGGACCGGCGACGCCGGAACGGGGCCAGACCCCGAGGCAGAGCCCAGAUCCUUCUCCGGACGACGAGCCAGACCCGCCGCCGAAAGCUUGGAGGUAGAAGAAGCCCGACUCUUAGCAGAAAAUUUCCGGAUCGAUGACUUCUUCUUAUUCUUAGUUGAGAGCUCGAUGGAACGCAGGGGGGAGGCGGGAAGAUCCUCGAUCCCAGAGAAGGAAGGAGACUGCGAGCGAGUAGGCACAUUGGAGCACACACCAGAGAAGGGGGCCCCUUACCAACAGCAGCAUCACGGGGAGCCAGGCCCUCUUUUUGAGGGUUAGGAGCUGGGGCAUUGUCCUUGAGCAACUCACAAUUAUCAGGCUCCAGCUUAUCCCAUUCAAACUGAGUGAAGCGUGGAUCCGAACCUCCACUUGGGUUUUGCCCCCCGGCCGAACCAUCACCAUGCAUGUCAUCUUGGUCAGAAGGCUUGGAAGGAGGAGGCGGAGGUGGAACAUGGGGUUCAGCACCCUCAACCCGAACACGAAGUCGCACACCCUCAGGAGAUGGGAAAACAUCCACGGAACCAUGAACACAGAUAGGAUCGAUGCACCACACACUGAGACGAACCGGGCCAACCUUGCCCAGAGACUCCGAAUCAACUUCCAUAGGCUUGCCAAUGAGAUUACCAAAAGCCAUCAUGAACUCCACACAACAAAGCCCAACUGGCACGUCGUCAACUAACACCCAAGUCUUGCUGAGAGGGCCCACCACCUUUGCACCACAAGUAGCCGCUUUGACAGACACCACAAGCUGGUUUAGGGGAAGAGUAAAACUGGUGCACGAGGAGAUCAUCCUUAGACAGUCCUUGGAGGGGAAAACCACUGCGAAUUCAUACUCUGAAAGCUGGCGCACCUACCAGUCCCAGCCACCGUCGUCCCAGAUUUUCAAACCAUCCAGGAGGGUCUGCGGAGAGAUCUUCUGACCACACACCAUGAUGAUGGCCGCAUUAGAGAGGGACAGCGCCGCCAUCACCACAGGAACAUCAGCAUCCAAAGCGAAGAACGAGCAUCCAGGCAAACCCAACCCAAACUAUAUGAAGGAGGGGCUCUUGGUACGAUUACGGCAGUCCACAGUAAGAUGACCAUCGGAGCGGCAGAUGAGGCAGAAGGGUGGGUUAGUGCAUCUAGAUUGGAAGUGUUUCAGGCGGUGGCAGGCAAAGCAAGUCAGGGUCGGAGAAGGGCCCGAGGCAACAGGAUGCUGGCGGAGAGGGGGAGGUGGCGGCGGCAGGAUGCCAUCACCACGGACCGCAGAAGAGGCACCAGGAGCAGAGGGAGGAGCACGCUGGUCCCCGACCAACGAAGAGGAAGAGCCAGGCCCGAAGCGCGGCCCCGAGCGAGAGGCAGCGCCAGCUGCAAACGAGCGAGGAGGUGGCCGAGGCGGAGGGACCGGACCCCUGGCCGGAGCGGGGCGCAGCGCCGACGAGGAUGAGCCACCACCAACGAAGCAGCAGCGGGCUCCCACAGAUCCGGCCCCGACCCCGACACACCACCAGAUCCAGGGAGCACCAUCCCAGAUCUGGCCACGGAGCGCUCCGGCCCCGCCUCCCAAUCCUCCCGCUCGCGCGACAGCUCGCGGGCCGCCUGCUCAUAUUCGAGCUUCGACCACAGCUCCGCCUCAUAGGCCAGAUCGACACCAUUGCCCGGCGAAACUUCACGGGCCCGCUUGCUACCCGAAAGGGCCUCAGAGGAGGAGCCCCUAGACUUGUCCAUGGCGAUCACUUCAGCGAAGGAGAGGAGGAGAGGAGGUGGGGAAGAAGUGGAUCUGGAGAAAUGGCGGAUAGGACGAUGCGCCCUGCGGAUAUCAGCGGCGGAAGCCGGAAACCCUAGGAAGGGGGGAGAGGCACCGCGGCGCACCCAUAUAUAGCUACAACAGGCCAGGCCAGAGUGGGCCGAAUGGGCCGGAAUGGGACAGCGGGCCAAGGGAGGGGACGGACGCGAUGCAGUGGCCACUACCAACUGCCCCGUGCCCACAGACGGGAGGGGAGGGAAAGAAUCGAGAGAGGAUGGAGCCGGGGGCCCGGGCGGCCCAGCCCGAGUCAAUCCAGGCGCCACCAGGCCCAAGUGCCCACCAAGGCCCACCUUGACCACAGGGCAACCCGGAUCUAGGGUUUGGCCACCAUCCGCCCCCGCACACGCCGACGCGACCGCCGCCACCGGCGCCGGCCCCGGCCUGAGAGGAGGACAAUCAGGACCAGCGACCGGUGACGCCACAUCGUCCGGAUCCAACACCACAGAGGAAGGAGGAGGACCGAGGAGACCACGAUCCGGGGAAGGAGCCGGGCCCCGACCCGCCAUGCAUCGGCGCCGAUCAAUGCGCAUCCACCCCGACGAACCAGAGGGCACCGACACCGGCUGGCCCCGGCCGCCCGGAGCAAAUUUCCAGGAGCCACUACUGGAAUCUGGCACUUUGCCAUCUGCCAUGGCAGAUGGCAAAGGCUUUGCCAUCUGCCAGGAGAUGGCAAACAGUUUGUCUGAAACCCUGCCGGUAAAGGCUUCUUUGCCAUCUGCUGGCUGAUGGCAAAGAGCCUGUGGCUUUGCCAUCAGCUAGCAGAUGGCAAAGCCUCUUAACGGGGUUAGCCAUGUUAGAAGGCUAACGGCAUACUUUGCCGUCUGCCAGCAGAUGGCAAAGGCUGCAGGCUCUUUGCCGUCUGCCAACAGAUGGCAAAGGCUGCAUGCUUUGCCAUCUGCCAGCACAUGGCAAAGAGCUUUGCCAUCUGCCGGCAGAUGGCAAAGAGCCCAAAUAGGCCAGCCCAAAUUUUACAUGUAGAUGACACGUGGCCUCUUUGCCAUCUGCCAGCUAAUGGCAAAGCUCUUUGCCAUCUGCUGGCAGAUGGCAAAGUGACUAUAUUGCCCCAUUUAAUUUUAUUUUUUCUUAUAUCAAUUCAUUUUCACCUUCCAAUGAAAUCAGAAAGCAAUAUCAGGGCAUGAACAGAUCUAAAGAACACAAACCACAAGCAUAGACUCGGAGAAGACCAGGCACGACCACUGUGACGUCACUUCCCUUAAUAAUUAUAUCCUUACACUAUACACGUUUCACAACUAUAAUUUGAACACCUGCUUGCCAUAAAUAAAUAUAUGUUUACACUAUACACAAGUGAAUCAUGUUGUGUCAUUUACAUGACGGGUAAAUUAAAUGAACAUGUCUUGAUUAGGUAUGACAUACUUUGGACAAGGAAGAGACCUGCAGAUAAAUAACACAAUUAAACAAACAAGUACUGAAAUAUAAGUGUUCCGCAUUAAGCUUGCUAGUAAGGAAAAUAUCAGGAGAUGGCUUGCUAGCUUUCACCUCUAGAUCACCCCCAUGGCAACUUGAUACAUAGCAAGAAAACAUUCCCCAAUGGUUACAAACCUUCGGUGCAAAAUGACAUUCAUGUCUGAAGACAUCACUAAGAAAUAUCAGGUUCUAUAUGAGUCUGCCUUAUUAAAGAACAGAGAGCAAUGAAGAAAAGUGCAGUACAUUAAAUCAAGGCCAAAUGAUACAUUGCAUGCAUCAGCGAGCAGAAAAAUAAAUGGUGUCUAAUAUUAUAUUUUCCCCUUCCAAUAGAGAGACUCCUAUAUGUUUUCCCCUUCCUGCCCUGUGUGUGUUUUCUUUGCGCGAAAGUUCCUGUUUCAGUCAGAGAGGUAGAACAAUCAGAAAAUGAGAAGGUCUUUCACUUCCUUACAGAAUGAAAUUUCUGUCUUGCAAGUUUACAAAGUCAUCAAGUUAAGCACUUGCGAUAAAAUUACCUGACUCAGAAAGCUGAUAUCACUCAUACAAAAAACAUGUUAUACAAUAUUGAGUUUUGACAUAGCUGGCUGUUAUACAAGUUAUACAAGUUGACCCCAGCCUGUUAAAAUUUAUACAUGCAUAUCAACCAGUGGAACUCCUCACUUGGGGGAGCUGGGGCAGGCCAGUGGGUACCUCAUGGGAUGUGGGGCAGGCCGUCCCCAUGCUCUCUCUCUGCUGUUUAUGUAGCAAUUCGCCUUGUAGUCUGAAGCAUACGAACUUGUAUCAGCAUCUAUAUGUUUAUGUCCCUAUCAUCUUAUAUUUGGAUAAAAUUAUUACUGAAUAAAAUAGCAUCAAGAAAAAAACAAGAGGAACAUAUGAUCAAAAUGCGGUCUGUUAGUGUGCUAAUAUGCAUCUUUGGUGGUACUUUUGCUAAAAACUGAGUGCCCAAAUGAAAGUAAGUGCAACCAGGAGAAAGUAAAACAACCAUACACUGCCUAAAAACAUAGUACAAACUUCACUGACCCUGCUGAAGACGAAAACAAGAGGCUGGAUGAAGAAGCUGCUCCACAGUACUCAAGGAUCGUGGUGAGAGAUGAAAACUUAGAGCUUCAUGGAGAAAUUGCAUGUCUGAAGGUUGUAGAUAGGGCUAGUCAAUCAGUUCAGGUACAAAAAGGGCCCCAGACUGCAGCAAAAUGAACUGAAAGGAUAUCUUCUGAACCUAUAAAAGCUCCAGUUUCUCUAGCAAGGGGAAAAUUCAGAGUUAUACCUAUUGAGUAGAUUUCCAGGCCCGACAGUAUGCAGUGUGCAUGCGAACUCGACCUCUAAACAGAAUACAAUCCGUGCUGGCGGCUGAUAGCUUUCCGAUUGGAACACACAACACGGCUCCCUGCAAAAAGCAAAAAACACAAUAUGGCUUGGCUGAUUGAUUUUCAUUGACUUGAUUCCCGGGAGGAUUACGUACGCUCAAGAUGAGAAAGGCACACCUCCGUACGCCUGAAUCAAGUGCAUUGGUAUACACUAGGCCGUUGCCACACAUCCUGGAGAUACAAGGCACGUCAACAACGCAUCUAUACGCGGCAACGUUGCAGACACAUAGACGGUCAAUCGCACGCACAAUGUCUGUACCAUAUCAGCACAUCCUGUACAAUAUAACUGCUAUGACAUCAAGUGCAUCGGUACCAUGACGCCACCGUAACACCGUUAUCAACUUUGUAUAAUAUAACUGCAGGUACUACUUCUGUGAUUAAAUUUUUGCAUUCUAACAUGUCUGAACAAGUUCCUUACAACUAAUCUGGUAUCAUAUGCAUUAUUAUAGUAGAGUAAAACACUUAUUUCUAAUCAAAAUUUAUAGAUAAAUCUUCUAUUAUAUACUUAAGACAAAAGGCAAACAAGCCAUCACGUUUAUACACAUAUGCUCAAAGAAUUACCAUUGAUUUUAUUUAGAACGGUCGAGAUUGAAAGAUGAACAAAGAUAUGUACAGCACCUAUUCGGUACAAUAAAUUGUUGACACGUAUAAAGAGAUCUAUCAUGAAAAAAAAAACAGUCUUUGGCACGUGAAAAGAGUUUAUCAUAGGCAGGUAUGCGAUAAUCUAUCAUAGAAGGGAACCCAAGGAACUCUAUGCUUGGCUAGGAAAAAGGCCAAUCCGGUUCAACUUCAGAAAAGAAUAGAAGUCCGGUUGCAAGACUGCUGCUUCUUUGCUGGAAUUUAAGCCGAUGCAAGCCGAUGCAAAAGCUAGAGAAAGUCACGUACAAAUAAAAAGGCAAGGUCCUACUAUGACAUCUACUAUCCAAGCAGACACAAAAAAGAACAGAAAAACAUACGAUGCAAGCCUAUUAAAUCGGAACGUGCACACGGUCAGCCCAACAUGUUGUAGAUUCUUAAAAAGAAAAACAUGUUGUACAGGGACACAAUUGUUUUAUCUUGGAGUUGGUACAUGGGCACAAAUUAAUAACGGCUCGAGAGGCUAUGGUAUUUUUUUUAUGGAGGCUAUAGGCUAGCUCUACGCAUGUUGUAACACAAACAGGAAUUCACGGUGGGCAAAUCAGUGCUGAUGUCACCUGUCAAAUCUUACGUGCAAAUAUCAUAGAUAAUACCAGCAGCCUAAUUGAUCAAAUCUUGCAUGCAAUCAGCGUUUCAGUGGCACUCAAGAAGUGGGCGAUGCAUUUAUUUGCUUAUCCUUACAAACUCCAUAAAAAAUCCAUACGAGUUAGAAAGUGAAUGGCAAAUGAGAUGGUUGCCCUGAAACUAAAUGAAAUGAUAAACUAAAAGACAAUAGCAAGUUUGUUUUUUGUAUGAAAUCAAUAACAAAACUUGCAAUCACUUUAUAUAAAAUUGUUGGUUUGAUUUAUAGAAAAUCAGAAUUAAUAAUGAAACAAUAUCAAAAACUAUUUUGUGCAGUGAUACAAUGCCCCUAAAUCACUAAAUGCAGACUAACCUUUAUAUAUGCACCAUCUUAUUUUCUGAACAAAUACUUCGCAUCUCUGCAGAUAUGGAUAUGAAGAAUCAAAAUUAGUAGGUAAUUUGACAUUCUUCUUUCCUGCAAAAUCUAAAAGAGUCAAGUAAAAAUAUCUAAAAGAGUCCAUAAUUAACUAAAUUUUGGAAAUUGCCGAUCAAGAGUUAAUACAUGAAACCAAUCCUAAAAUUCGAAUAAAAAUAAAAUCACUUUGAAUGUGCUAGGCAUACAUAAAAAUCUUCUAUUAGGUGACGAUGACAUAGUAAAGAGGAAUCAAUGAAUCACUUUGAAUGUGCUAGGCAUGUUUAACGAGUGAAUUGCGUCAAGUCUCAACAUUGCUCAUGGUCAUACCUAAUAAAGAGGAAUCAAUGAAUUAGAUUUGGGGGCUUAUAGGCAAUUGCUCAUGGUAGUAAAGAGGAAUCAAUGAAUUAGAUUUGGAUUCACAGCCAUACCUAAUAAACCAGCAAGUCUCAGCAUUGCUCAUGGUCCUUCAAUUUCUCACUGCCCCUUCUAUUUGGCUCGUCAAUCCUUCACUACCCUGCAGCAAGACCUAGGAGAGCCAGAAGGGAGAUUUAGAGUUGGAGGCGAGUCAAAUCGAGAGUUCGACCACAAGAGAAAGAAUAUGGUUACCUGGCCGGCGUUCGGGGAGGCGAGCUCCGCCUCCCACUUGAGCGCCCGGCCCCCGCCGCGCGGCUUCUCCUCCGCCGUCCACUUGACCUUCCGGCCGCCGGGCUCCGUGGCCGCGUAGGUGUACAUGCGGCGCGGUCGGUGAGGUCGUGCAGGAGGAAGGCGUGCGGGGAGGGGAUGGGGGGCGGGGCGAAGAAGGGGUCGGCGGGGAGGUAGAGUUCGAGGAGGUCGGGGUGGUGGGGAAAGGCGAACGGGGAUGGGGAUGGGGGUGGGAGGAAGGGGCAGGAGGCGGAGAGGGAGGAGGUAGGUGGUGGUGCGUGGAUGAGAUGCCAACGUUUUUUUUUACUUGGAUGGGUGGGGAGAGAGGGAGGGGAUAACCCCACAGUAUUUUUUUAUCUGAAAAAAAACCCAUCUCUUUGCCAUCUGCCAGCAGAUGGCAAAGAAUCUUUGCCGUCUGCUGGCAGAUGGCAAAGAGGUGGGACUGAUACGCCGUUACACACUUGACGGCCACAGGAUUUGCCAACCUCUUUGCCAUCUGCUGGCAGAUGGCAAAGAUUAUUUGCCAUCCAUUAGCAGAUGGCAAAGAAUUGGCUGAUGGCAACCAUGUUUUUUGCCGCCUGUCAGUUCUUUGCCAUCUGUUUUUUAUAAGCAGAUGGCAAAGACGUUCUUUGCCAUCUGCCAGCAGAUGGCAAAGAGCUGGCUGAUGGCAAAUUCCCAGUUUUCAGUAGUGAGCGGCCCGAUGCAGGCAUGGACGGCACCACCGACACCACCACCGACGGAGCGCACUCCUCCGAAUCAGAGGCCGACUCCUCCAUGUCGCCCAACGCACAGAAACGCAAGUCGGGGAAGGACGCCGACGCAGAGGGGGCCAGCGCCAGAGCCGACGCGCACCCGGAGCAAGGAGAGCCGACCCGCCCCGCAGACAGCGGGAGGGGCGGCGGGGGGGGAGGGCGGGGGAGCCAUGGGAAGCGGCGAGGGCAGGGGAGGAGGGAGACGGGGCGCAAGGGGACGAAGGGAGAGGAGGGAGAGGAGAGACUGCCAUCUCAUAGUAGUUUCAUCCAUACAAGUUCUGAUAAGUUUCCUUAUUUAGCAUGUGAAAUCCCUUAUUCAACAAUGAUUUUCAGGCCAAAUCAGAUGAUGCAGGUUUUUCCAUUGAAGAGAGCAAAUUAUUCGAGAAAACUGCAAUAUGAGAGGCCUGGUUGGUACCUUCAGAAAGUUGCAUCCUAAUGUUGUGGGUUACACCUUCUGGCGUGAAAAUCAGCUCCAUAACAAGAAAGGUGCAUCACUAUAUUGGUGGAUAAUUUAAUUACAUCAAUGAUGUAAUGGUGCAUUUGCUUUUAGAUUUCUGUUAACCUAGUACCAAAAAGGUAUGCGUGCAUGCUCGAAAAAUCUUAGCAUUUGUGAAUCUAGCUAUUCAGGCAUCCUUGAGUGAUACAUAUUUCUUUGUACAUUGAAAUACAGUUGGACAACAAGCACCUUAUGCCAGUGGUGUUUAUACUCCAAAAUUGCAGUAUCUACCUUUCCCAAAUAACAGAAAAAAAGGUAUGCAAUCUAAAAAACAUGUCAUCAAAAGAGAGUUACGACUUACAAUCCAUG
This 13163-nucleotide long non-coding RNA is filed under the name Triticum aestivum (bread wheat). RNAcentral describes it as "long non-coding RNA (TAES_LNC007326)". The record is from RNAcentral. Lineage: Eukaryota; Viridiplantae; Streptophyta; Magnoliopsida; Poales; Poaceae.